Molecule: long non-coding RNA, 2647 nt
Filed under: Taeniopygia guttata (zebra finch)
Lineage: Eukaryota; Metazoa; Chordata; Aves; Passeriformes; Estrildidae
Description: lncRNA (ENSTGUG00000025380.1)
Source: RNAcentral
UUUUUUUGACUUUUUUUUUUUAAAAUCUAAAUUUUUUAUUAUACAUACUGUAUUACACUGAAAAUACGUACCCAAAGACAGAAUAUUUUGAAUUUACAUCUGUACAAAAAAACCAAACAAAAACCAAUAGAAAACAUACGGGCUAUGCUAUAGAUGUGACAUUUUACAAAAUGACAGUUUUUGUUAAAGGCACCAGAUUCCCAGAGGACUCUGGCUUAACAUUUUUAGUCUUUUUUUUUUCCAGUCAGAUCUUACUAUGAAAAUGUGAUUCACUCUUAAACCAUAUGAUGUCAAAGUCUCAAGAUUAUUUUAUCUAGACAAGUGGUCUGCACUUUGAAACAACUUGUGAGAGAAGCGACCAAUUCCACAUGGAGAUGUCAAGCAAUUACCAAAGGCUCCUCUCCACUGUAUCCAGGAUCCUAUGGUAUUGAACUGAAAGAUUCAAUGGCAAAGCCAGCACUGAAAAUCAGGUUAACCCACAAAAUACCAGCCCAAUACUAGAGUGUUAACUGUACUAAGCCUAGACUGGAUUAUAUGGAGGUAACUACAAAGCAUUAGAGUAGCAAAAGAAUGAACAGAAAGAUGGAAUCUGUGAUCUCAGCAUCCUUCUUGGGCUCCCUUCCAUCAUUACACUCAUUUCACUCUUUCUGGUCCUCACAGCACACAUGAAAGAAAAUGGAGCCUUCAGAAACCCAGCACUUCACUAUAGGACAAGCUGUUGAAGAACCCUUGGUAAGAUGAAUGUGCUCUUUUUCCCCUAAAAACAAAGUCUGGACAGGACAGGGAAAACACACGCCAGUUUCACUGCUUCUUUCUCCAAUAUUUCAUACUCAAAUCAAAGAACCUAAUUCACAUCGUGCCUAGGCUUGCACAGACAGGAGCUUCUCUACAAGCAAGGGCAAGAGAGACUGGGACAUCCCCCUUGAUGAGGUGCAGUUCAAGUCAAAAGUUCUUAAAUUUGGGCUUGCUAUUUCCUAAAACUUCAUGCUUGGUAAAGGCAUGAGGAAAGGACAAAAGCAAAGCUUUAAGAAAACUCUGAAUUACUUCUUUGGUCAACUCAGUACAUCUACAAGUAAUUCUAGAAUAAAUAAAUGCUUUUGUUUAACCUUACAGCACACACUGAGCCUCACUGAAUAGCUUCACAUCCAAGUGACUGAGUAUUCAAGACAAAAAAAAAAAAAAAAAUCAAGUUCCAAGGCCAGAUUUUGUUCUGUAUGUAACAAUUCCAAUAUAUUGGAAUUUCAAUUUGAAGUUUCCCUUUCUGAUUUGUCUGGCAUUAUUCCUACUUUCAGCACACAAAUUUGAUGAUUUCAUUCACUGAACCAAAGAACUGCAUAUAGUUUCAUUUCUCACUGUAUGAUUUUAAUGAUGUUGCAGAAACUUCCCCUCUUUAGGCAUUUAAACACUUUAUACAUUCACAGAUCAAGUUGAAGUAAUCUUCUGGUAUUGAGGGUCAUAGAGUGACUUAAAAAAAUUAAUUUUGCAGUGUUAAAUUGUCUUAUCCUAAUGAGUUAACAGAAUUAAAAAUAUACUACAGUUCUACUUAAAAUUUCCAUUUAUUGCCUAUGACUGACUUUAGACAAACAGGGUGGAGACAGACUGCACUAUGCAGCAAUUACAAACAGCAGCACGGUUAAGCUUCCUACAUACUAGUGCACUCAAAUGACUCCACUGCAUUCUAGAAGGGCUUCUUGAAGAGCAGAGGGACAGCUAUCUCCUCCCAAAAACAGGUCUGAAAUGCAGACUUCUGUGGCUGCAGAAAGUUUAGUGAGGGACCAACCAUUAAUCUCAAGGAAGUCAAAAGAGCCACCACACAGCAGCUCCUGACCAUGACUGAACUGCACAGGUCUUGCAUCAACAGUUUACAAUACAUGACAGUACACACCCCUCAAGCCAGCCAAUUUUCUAAAUGCUCAUUUUUAACAACUGUGUCUGAUACUUGCAGCUCAUCUAGCAAGCAGGAACACUUAAGGCAGAAGUAUCACACACAUGUACCGAAAACUGGUCAUCACAAGGAAACUUUAAAAUCUGAAUGCAGACAACAAAAGGAAUGUCACUUUUCUUUAAACCUUUCUCCUAGAAGAUGAAUACUUUCAUGUCCUAUCAUUAGCCCUCACUGUGUAACACUCUAAAACCAAAUAAGUUAUAACCAUAACACAUUCUACUAAACUCUAAAAACUAAAAUUCACUACUCACCCUCACUUGUCAAGCUGUUUUCUAGCUGUUUAAAAAGAAAAGUUGGAAUCAAAAUUGCAAUCUCCAUUGUUUCUGAAAUGGGUAAUUCUGGGGGGGACAGCCCCGAUGUGACAGUUAUAUGUGAGCAACUUUCACACUAAAACAUGCACAACACUCUGUAACAGCAGCAGUUACCAUCAAAUAACCUGCCUGUUACAGGAGCUAGAACAUUCUGUGUAUUUGCUUAAAUAAAGCUAAGAAAUCUACACUUUUGGUCACAUCUUAAAACACUGCAGAAUACAGGGCAUUUUUUAAAAUAAUAUUUAUACUUUCCCUGUCCUGUUGGGUAGUUUGAUUGAAAAACAAAGAUUAAAAUGCAGUAAAAAAUUCCCCAAUAAAAAAAGAUUCUAAUCAGACAUCUAAAUGUCUUUAUAAGUAUACAAGUGUACUAUGGGAUUUGGUCUGCUUGUUU